Molecule: ribosomal RNA, 302 nt
Filed under: Leuconostoc mesenteroides
Lineage: Bacteria; Bacillati; Bacillota; Bacilli; Lactobacillales; Lactobacillaceae
Description: bacterial SSU rRNA
Rfam family: Bacterial small subunit ribosomal RNA
Source: RNAcentral
UAGAGUUUGAUCCUGGCUCAGGAUGAACGCUGGCGGCGUGCCUAAUACAUGCAAGUCGAACGCACAGCGAAAGGUGCUUGCACCUUUCAAGUGAGUGGCGAACGGGUGAGUAACACGUGGACAACCUGCCUCAAGGCUGGGGAUAACAUUUGGAAACAGAUGCUAAUACCGAAUAAAACUUAGUGUCGCAUGACAAAAAGUUAAAAGGCGCUUCGGCGUCACCUAGAGAUGGAUCCGCGGUGCAUUAGUUAGUUGGUGGGGUAAAGGCCUACCAAGACAAUGAUGCAUAGCCUGUCUCAGUC